AAAUCCCUGCCGGGUACGUGAUGGACGCUCUAUUUUUUGGACCGAUGUCCAUUUUUAGGGAACCCGGCCUAAGCAUCGCGGUGUGCAAGCUCCCAUAGCUGUAAAGGGAGAAGCCUAAAGCGGUGGGUGGGGUGCCCACCUCGUUCAACGGGGUUCAAAAAAUGGGUUCACACGGCCAUGGUGGGGAUAUA
This 191-nucleotide non-coding RNA is filed under the name Deltaproteobacteria bacterium CG11_big_fil_rev_8_21_14_0_20_47_16. RNAcentral describes it as "6S RNA". It matches the Rfam family "6S / SsrS RNA". From Rfam's summary of the family: E. coli 6S RNA was the first non coding RNA to be sequenced, but its function was unknown until recently. The record is from RNAcentral. Lineage: Bacteria; Deltaproteobacteria.